Molecule: long non-coding RNA, 996 nt
Organism: Dioscorea cayenensis subsp. rotundata (Guinea yam)
Lineage: Eukaryota; Viridiplantae; Streptophyta; Magnoliopsida; Dioscoreales; Dioscoreaceae
Exons: 4
Source: RefSeq, a predicted model, not a curated record
UAGCCCGUCUCCCCCUCUUGUUGUCGCUGUCACUGUUUCGGUCCAGGCUCCCUAUCAUGCAGUCUCCAUCCCUGUCCUCGUCUCUUGCGUGGCAACCUCUCCUUCUUCUUCUCGCCCCAUCCUCUUCUCAAUCCCUCUCUAUAGCAUUUCUCAGCCCUGUGUCUCUUUUCCCCUUCAUCGGACCAGCCGGAGAUGGCGCUUGAAGGUUUCACGGGUUGAGAACAUCGCCAACGGAGCUGAGCCUAUGCCUCCUAAUGGCAAUCUGGGACCAUCAGCAGGAGUCGCUUCCAUUGGUGUUCCAUUCAACCUUGUGAAUCAUGAUGGAAAAUCAAUAACUAAGAAAGACUUUCUAGGGAAGUGGACAUUGAUCUACUUUGGGUUCACUCAUUGCCCUGAUAUUUGUCCUGAUGAAUGUCAAAAUUUGCUAUUGCUGUUGACAAAUUGAAUAUGUAUCAAGCCAUUGACAUGUAUCUUCAGUUAUUAGAGGAAGAGAAGAUGAAGGUCUAUUGUGGUAUAAAUUUUGAGAAGUUAUCAUCAGAAUAAUGCAAGCACUUGACUCAGAACUUAAAGUUUCCAUCAAGAACAAUAAUUCAAGCUCUCAUCUUUCAAAAGUCAAAGCUGAAAAGCCUGUUACAAAACACCACCACCAACAACCUGGAAAGUUUAGCAGACACAGUGCUGACAAUGAACAGUGUGUCAUUCUUCAUGCAAAUAGACUGGAUCUCUCAAUGGAAAAUGAGAAGCUAAAAUCACAUCUUCAAGGGAUGCAAUGCAGACUAAUGGAGCUGGAGAAAGUUUGUAGAAAAAUGCAGACACAAUCUAACACAAGUCAUGAAAACCAAGUUAUCCAGUUUUUCAACAGCAGGAAGAUCACUCCCAAGACUUUGUUUAUGAAUUUUUUUGCAAAUUAUUUCACAUAUAAUGUUGUACAACAAUUGGAAAUGUGUGUAUUUGUGUGAGAAUUAAAGUAGAAUGUGAAAAAAGAAAAGAUGGUGA